CUCAGGGAGGUAGUGACAAGAAAUAACAACACUGGAAAUUUUAUUUCUAGUGAUUGGAAUGAUGGGAAUUUAAACCCCUUUCAGAGUAACAAUUGGAGGGCAAGUCUGGUGCCAGCAGCCGCGGUAACUCCAGCUCCAAUAGCGUAUAUUAAAGUUGUUGCAGUUAAAAAGCUCGUAGUUGGAUGUCUGCUGGAAGCAAUCAGUCCGCCCUAUUUGUAGGGUGUGCACUUGAUGAAUUCUGGCAUCUAUGUCCUAAUGUGAUAGAUACGGCGGUGUAUAUGGGUUAAUCCUAUAUACCCGUUUUUGUAUAUUAUAUUGGGAUAAUACCGUUACUUUGAGAAAAUUAGAGUGUUUGAAGCAGGCUAAUUGCCUUGAAUACUGCAGCAUGGAAUAACAAUAUAGGAUUUCGGUUCUAUUUUGUUGGUUUCUAGGACUGAAAUAAUGAUUAAUAGGGACAGUUGGGGGCAUUCGUAUUUAACUGUCAGAGGUGAAAUUCUUAGAUUUGUUAAAGACGAACUACUGCGAAAGCAUUUGCCAAAGAUGUUUUCAUUAAUCAAGAACGAAAGUUAGGGGCUCGAAGACGAUCAGAUACCGUCGUAGUCUUAACCAUAAACUAUGCCGACUAGAGAUAGGAAAAUGUCAUUUUUCUGACUU
This 654-nucleotide ribosomal RNA is filed under the name Sarcocystis hjorti. RNAcentral describes it as "SSU rRNA". It matches the Rfam family "Eukaryotic small subunit ribosomal RNA", at positions 455 to 1077 of the family's 1831-position model. The record is from RNAcentral. Lineage: Eukaryota; Apicomplexa; Conoidasida; Eucoccidiorida; Sarcocystidae.